CGCAGGCGUGCCAGCACCGCGGGGUGCAGUCGUUGGGGUAGUCCCUUGACCUGACUUCUUCUUCAAGCGCUGUGGACGAGGAGAGCACCAACCUCGUCACAGGGUUCUUUUCUUGCCUUUUGGGAAAUGACUUUUGCCUUACGGAUAAGGACUUUGGUUGUGAUCUCUUUGGUCACCAAAAUCGAUACUCAACGUUGUAGGUUGAGCAGAGCAAUCACUGGGAAGUUCUGAGAAAGCACGGGUUUUGCUAAAGCGUGACUUUAGCUUCGCUGGGUGCGAGGGCGUUACCCUUGCUUCACUGGGUGUAUCGGUGGCAGUAGUACUGGCAGUCGGCUCGCGAGGAGACUAGGACUGGAAGUACGAUCGCCAGGUUGAUCUGGUGAGGCUGACAGUCGGCUCGCGAGGAGACUAGGACUGGCGGGCGG
Molecule: long non-coding RNA, 425 nt
Filed under: Rosa chinensis
Lineage: Eukaryota; Viridiplantae; Streptophyta; Magnoliopsida; Rosales; Rosaceae
Description: sRNA RchiOBHm_Chr3g0456201
Source: RNAcentral